This is a long non-coding RNA of Solanum pennellii, 1026 nucleotides long. RefSeq lists it as uncharacterized. The transcript has 2 exons. NCBI's taxonomy places the organism in Eukaryota, Viridiplantae, Streptophyta, Magnoliopsida, Solanales, Solanaceae. The record is from RefSeq and is a predicted model, not a curated record.
UUCAAAUUCAAUAGAAACUCAUUUUAUACAACAACAUCACCAGCAACGUGUAGUAGAAAACCGACUCGACCGCAGAACAUACGUGUUCUUCUUCUCUUCCAGCAGUUCAACGCGAAGAAAAUCCAAAAAACGAAUCCAGUCCAGCAGGGACUCAGCCCAGGAUCGCGAGGCCUAGUUCGCUGCCUCGUCCUCUCUUACUCUCGUGCGUCGUCCUCUUCUCUUGUAAAAAGAACAAUUAAGAGAAUCCGUCCAGGUGGCUCCAUCUCCUUCCAUGUUCGUCCUUUUCCCUUAAUUGGACAGCUUUCCUUUGACCUUCGUUGGAAAUUUGUAGUCAUUCCAGCUGCACACCUUAUCUCUUAAGGGGAAUUCGAAUUUUGAAUUCAAAAAUUACUCCUACUCCUCACCCGAUUUCCCCUCAUUUUAAACCUAGUUCUUCUCCUAUAAAUAGUCGACUCUUCUUCUUUGAGUGGGCGGGAGAAAAAGCUGAAAUAAAAUAGAAUAAUAAAGUUGGAAAAAACAGAGGAAGGAACAACUUGCAUUGGGAGAAAAUAUUGGGAGAGAUAUUUAGUUGGACGAGUCAAGAAAAGGUUUUGUUCUUCUUUUUCGGACGCGAUUGUUUAUUGGAAUCUUUCGGAGUCGUCAGAAGUCGCUGCCCUCCAAGCUCGUCAGUUGUCUCAGUUCUGCUGUCCGAAAAAAGGUUAUUAUUGUGCCUCCACAUGAAAAUAAAUAGCGUGUUUGAGAUCGUGCUUUAUGCGGAUCAGAUAUAUAUUUUGCAUCUGCAUAAACAAUCAAUUUUGUCUUGGAUUCCUCGGAAUUGGAUAAACCCACAACUAUGGUCCUUUGAGGAUAUUCAAUCAUGUGCUCAACACUAUUUCAAUGUCCUUUUAUCGGCGAGAAAUUGAAUCUUGCUAGUAAAUUUACUGCAAAACAAAUAUCUGGUCAAAUAUUGUUAGUAAGAUCCACUAGUGCCCUGAUUGCACCAAGAUAUAGAGUUUCAUUACAAAUAAAUCUUCAUCCUUCUUUUGA